AUUGAACGCUGGCGGCAGGCCUAACACAUGCCAGUCGAGCGGAUGAAGGGAGCUUGCUCCUGGAUUCAGCGGCGGACGGGUGAGUAAUGCCUAGGAAUCUGCCUGGUAGUGGGGGGUAACGUCCGGAAACGGGCGCUAAUACCGCAUACGUCCUGAGGGAGAAAGUGGGGGAUCUUCGGACCUCACGCUAUCAGAUGAGCCUAGGUCGGAUUAGCUAGUUGGUGGGGUAAAGGCCUACCAAGGCGACGAUCCGUAACUGGUCUGAGAGGAUGAUCAGUCACACUGGAACUGAGACACGGUCCAGACUCCUACGGGAGGCAGCAGUGGGGAAUAUUGGACAAUGGGCGAAAGCCUGAUCCAGCCAUGCUGCGUGUGUGAAGAAGGUCUUCGGAUUGUAAAGCACUUUAAGUUGGGAGGAAGGGCAGUAAGUUAAUACCUUGCUGUUUUGACGUUACCAACAGAAUAAGCACCGGCUAACUUCGUG
This 484-nucleotide ribosomal RNA is filed under the name uncultured bacterium. Its description in RNAcentral is "partial 16S ribosomal RNA". It matches the Rfam family "Bacterial small subunit ribosomal RNA", at positions 30 to 507 of the family's 1533-position model. The record is from RNAcentral.